This 625-nucleotide ribosomal RNA is filed under the name uncultured Bacteroidota bacterium. Its description in RNAcentral is "bacterial SSU rRNA". It matches the Rfam family "Bacterial small subunit ribosomal RNA", at positions 820 to 1457 of the family's 1533-position model. The record is from RNAcentral. Lineage: Bacteria; Pseudomonadati; Bacteroidota.
CUGUUUGCGAUACACAGUAAGCGGCUGAGCGAAAGCAUUAAGUGAUCCACCUGGGGAGUACGAUCGCAAGGUUGAAACUCAAAGGAAUUGACGGGGGCCCGCACAAGCGGAGGAACAUGUGGUUUAAUUCGAUGAUACGCGAGGAACCUUACCUGGGCUUAAAUGUAGAUUGCAUAGAUUGGAAACAGUCUUUCUCUUCGGAGCUAUUUACAAGGUGCUGCAUGGUUGUCGUCAGCUCGUGCCGUGAGGUGUCGGGUUAAGUCCCAUAACGAGCGCAACCCUUACCGUUAGUUGCCAUCAGGUGAUGCUGGGGACUCUAGCGGGACUGCCACCGUAAGGUGAGAGGAAGGUGGGGAUGACGUCAAAUCAGCACGGCCCUUAUGUCCAGGGCUACACACGUGUUACAAUGGUCGGUACAAAGGGCAGCUACACUGCGAAGUGAUGCUAAUCCCAAAAGCCGAUCCCAGUUCGGAUUGGAGUCUGCAACCCGACUCCAUGAAGUUGGAUUCGCUAGUAAUCGCGCAUCAGCCAUGGCGCGGUGAAUACGUUCCCGGGCCUUGUACACACCGCCCGUCAAACCAUGGAAGCUGGGGGUGCCUGAAGUCUGUGACCGAAAGGAGCGGCC